GACUCUGUUUAACGGCCGCGGUAUUCUGACCGUGCGAAGGUAGCGUAAUCACUUGUUCUUUAAAUAAGGACUUGUAUGAAUGGCAUCACGAGGGUUACACUGUCUCCCUUUUUCAAUCAGUUAACCUAAUCUUCCCGUGAAGAAGCGGGAAUACACAUAUAAGACGAGAAGACCCCAUGGAGCUUUAAACGAACAGCACUUGCUAGCCACCUUUCUUUUAUUCAGCCAAGCAUACUGACUGCUAGUUUUUGGUUGGGGCGACCACGGAGAAUAAACUACCCUCCAUGCUGGAAGAAAUCUUUUUCUUAACCACAAGCCACGCCUUUAAGUAUUAACAACUUAACAUCCAUUGACCCAAUAAAAUUGAUCAACGAACCUAGUUACCCUGGGGAUAACAGCGCAAUCCAUUUCAAGAGCUCCUAUCGACAAAUGGGUUUACGACCUCGAUGUUGGAUCAGGGUAUCCCAGUGGUGCAGCC
RNAcentral lists this ribosomal RNA (478 nucleotides) under Limnodynastes lignarius. RNAcentral's name for it is "Megistolotis lignarius partial 16S ribosomal RNA". It matches the Rfam family "Bacterial large subunit ribosomal RNA", at positions 1916 to 2560 of the family's 2925-position model. The record is from RNAcentral. Lineage: Eukaryota; Metazoa; Chordata; Amphibia; Anura; Limnodynastidae.